Molecule: ribosomal RNA, 477 nt
Filed under: uncultured bacterium
Lineage: Bacteria
Description: partial 16S ribosomal RNA
Rfam family: Bacterial small subunit ribosomal RNA
Source: RNAcentral
GAUGAACGCUGGCGGCGUGCCUAACACAUGCAAGUCGAACGAAGCACCUUACCUGAUUCUUCGGAUGAAAGUUUGGUGACUGAGUGGCGGACGGGUGAGUAACGCGUGGGUAACCUGCCCUGUACAGGGGGAUAACAGCUGGAAACGGCUGCUAAUACCGCAUAAGCGCACGAGGAGACAUCUCCUUGUGUGAAAAACUCCGGUGGUACAGGAUGGGCCCGCGUCUGAUUAGCUGGUUGGCAGGGUAACGGCCUACCAAGGCAACGAUCAGUAGCCGGUCUGAGAGGAUGAACGGCCACAUUGGAACUGAGACACGGUCCAAACUCCUACGGGAGGCAGCAGUGGGGAAUAUUGCACAAUGGGGGAAACCCUGAUGCAGCAACGCCGCGUGAGUGAAGAAGUAUUUCGGUAUGUAAAGCUCUAUCAGCAGGGAAGAUAAUGACGGUACCUGACGAAGAAGCUCCGGCUAAAUACGUG